AACGCACGAGACCUGCGGACCUGCGGAGGGAUCAUUACUGAGGAGGGUCCAUGGCCCGAUCUCCAACCCUUUGAUAAAAACACCACGUUGCUUUGGCAGGCCCGCCCGUUGGGGCCGCGGGGGAUCGCCGGUCCCUAGCCCGUGCCUGCCGGUAGCCUUCACAAAACUCUCAAAAUGUUGUCGUCUGAGAUGAUUAGAAUAAUAAAACUUUUAACAAUGGAUCUCUAGAUCGGAAGAGCA
This 240-nucleotide unclassified non-coding RNA is filed under the name soil metagenome. Its description in RNAcentral is "partial contains 5.8S ribosomal RNA, internal transcribed spacer 2, and large subunit ribosomal RNA". The record is from RNAcentral.